GAUUAACGCUGGCGGCGUGCAUAACACAUGCCAGUCGAACGAUGAAACUUAAAUGAUUUCUUCGGAAUGAACUUAAGUGGAUUAGUGGCGGACGGGUGAGUAACGCGUGAGUAACCUGCCUUACACAAGGGGAUAGCCGUUGGAAACGACGAAUAAUACCCUAUGAAACUAUCACUUCGCAUGAAGCGAUAGUCAAAGUGUUAGCGGUGUAAGAUGGACUUGCGUCUGAUUAGCUAGUUGGUGAGAAAAAAGCCCACCAAGGCAACGAUCAGUAGCCGGCUUGAGAGAGUGUACGGCCACAUUGGGACUGAGACACGGCCCAGACUCCUAAGGGAGGCAGCAGUGGGGAAUUUUGCACAAUGGGGGAAACCCUGAUGCAGCGACGCCGCGUGAUUUAGAAGGCCUUCGGGUUGUAAAAAUCUUUUGUAUAGGAAGAAAAUGACAGUACUAUACGAAUAAGGUCCGGCUAAUUACGUG
Molecule: ribosomal RNA, 477 nt
Filed under: uncultured bacterium
Lineage: Bacteria
Description: partial 16S ribosomal RNA
Rfam family: Bacterial small subunit ribosomal RNA
Source: RNAcentral